RNAcentral lists this ribosomal RNA (465 nucleotides) under uncultured bacterium. Its description in RNAcentral is "partial 16S ribosomal RNA". It matches the Rfam family "Bacterial small subunit ribosomal RNA", at positions 338 to 795 of the family's 1533-position model. The record is from RNAcentral.
CCUACGGGAGGCAGCAGUGGGGAAUAUUGCGCAAUGGGCGAAAGCCUGACGCAGCGACGCCGCGUGAGGGAUGAAGGUCUUCGGAUCGUUAACCUCUGUCAGCAGGGAAGAACGGUCACUGUGCUAAUCAGCAGUGAAUUGACGGUACCUGCAAAGGAAGCACCGGCUAACUCCGUGCCAGCAGCCGCGGUAAUACGGAGGGUGCGAGCGUUAAUCGGAAUUACUGGGCGUAAAGCGCUCGUAGGCGGUAUGUCAAGUCAAGGGUGAAAUCCCCGCGCUCAACGUGGGAACUGCCUUUGAAACGGGCAAACUGGAGUGUGUGAGAGGAUAGUGGAAUUCCAGGUGUAGGAGUGAAAUCCGUAGAUAUCUGGAGGAACAUCAGUGGCGAAGGCGACUAUCUGGCACAUAACUGACGCUGAGGAGCGAAAGCGUGGGUAGCAAACAGGAUUAGAUACCCGAGUAGUC